Molecule: ribosomal RNA, 495 nt
Filed under: uncultured bacterium
Lineage: Bacteria
Description: bacterial SSU rRNA
Rfam family: Bacterial small subunit ribosomal RNA
Source: RNAcentral
GACGAACGCUGGCGGCAUGCCUAACACAUGCAAGUCGAACGGAGAUUAUUUCGGUAAUCUUAGUGGCGAACGGGUGAGUAACGCGUAGGCAACCUGCCCUUUAGUUGGGGACAACAUCCCGAAAGGGGUGCUAAUACCGAAUGUGACAGUUUUUCCGCAUGGGAUUACUGUGAAAGAUGGCCUCUAUUUAUAAGCUAUCGCUAAAGGAUGGGCCUGCGUCUGAUUAGCUAGUUGGUGGGUAACGGCCUACCAAGGCGACGAUCAGUAGCCGGUCUGAGAGGAUGAACGGCCACAUUGGGACUGAGACACGGCCCAGACUCCUACGGGAGGCAGCAGUGGGGAAUCUUCCGCAAUGGGCGAAAGCCUGACGGAGCAAUGCCGCGUGAGUGAUGAAGGAAUUCGUUCCGUAAAGCUCUUUGUUAUGAAGAAGGAUAGAGGUAGUAACUGGCCUUUAUUUGACGGUAAUCAACCAGAAAAGUCACGGCUAACUACGUG